Molecule: ribosomal RNA, 490 nt
Filed under: uncultured bacterium
Lineage: Bacteria
Description: partial 16S ribosomal RNA
Rfam family: Bacterial small subunit ribosomal RNA
Source: RNAcentral
AGUGAACGCUGGCGGCAGGCCUAAUACAUGCAAGUCGAACGGCAGCACAGCAGAGCUUGCUCUGUGGGUGGCGAGUGGCGGACGGGUGAGGAAUACAUGGGAAUCUGCCCAGUCGUGGGGGAUAACGUAUGGAAACGUACGCUAAUACCACAUGCGCCCUUUGGGGGAAAGCCGGGGACCUUCGGGCCUGGCGCGAUUGGAUGAGCCCAUGUUCGAUUAGCUAGUUGGCGGGGUAAAGGCCCACCAAGGCGACGAUCGAUAGCUGGUCUGAGAGGAUGAUCAGCCACACUGGGACUGAGACACGGCCCAGACUCCUACGGGAGGCAGCAGUAGGGAAUAUUGGACAAUGGGCGCAAGCCUGAUCCAGCCAUGCCGCGUGAGUGAAGAAGGCCCUCGGGUUGUAAAGCUCUUUUGUCCGGAAAGAAAAGCAUUCGGUUAAUACCCGGGUGUUCUGACGGUACCGGAAGAAUAAGCACCGGCUAACUUCGUG